AGCGAGGUAUAGAGUUCCUAUGCGUUCGGAUAAAAUAUUCCAUAGGAACUUCAUACCGUGCUCU
This 64-nucleotide microRNA precursor is filed under the name Aedes aegypti (yellow fever mosquito). RNAcentral describes it as "Aae-Mir-276-P1_pre stem-loop". Lineage: Eukaryota; Metazoa; Arthropoda; Insecta; Diptera; Culicidae. The record is from RNAcentral.